This 78-nucleotide small RNA is filed under the name Moellerella wisconsensis ATCC 35017. Its description in RNAcentral is "tpke11". It matches the Rfam family "tpke11". Rfam says of the family: In Yersinia located in ICR upstream dnaJ (chaperone)gene. Has temperature responsive RNA structure. Lineage: Bacteria; Pseudomonadati; Pseudomonadota; Gammaproteobacteria; Enterobacterales; Morganellaceae. The record is from Rfam by way of RNAcentral.
AUCAGUUGCUGAAUUCCGGACACGGGCGUUGAGGAAACUCUUCGCCCGUGUGCGUAUGUUAAGGGUAAAUUAAAUGGC